AGAAUUUCACAAACUUAUAUUUGCCAUGUGAUAUAAAAAAUUGAGGAUUUGAGAAGUAGCAAUCAAUACUAAUCUCAGAGUAAUGAAUCCACUAAAAAUUUUCUGAAACAACAAUUCUUCACAGGACAGACCUUUGCCUCCACUUACUUAAUAAGCAUAUUUGCUAAAUGCUAUUGGCAUCCUUCAUCAUGCCAACUUCUUGAAGCAUCACCUGCCAUUUCUUCUGCUUGAGUGUGCAAUAUUUGAUGUUUCAAUCAAUCUAUCUUACUCAAGAUGGCCUUGACCAAGCACUCUUAAUUUCCAUUACACAUCCAACCUCAUGCAGUCAUGCUUUAAACUUUAACUUCAAAUCUAGUUGGAACAAAAAAAAUCAACAUUUUUUGGAAACAAAUGAGAGACAUGUUACAUGUAGGAAUGACUAUUUAGUUUAGAUUUAAUCAAAAGUUACAUAAAAACCUGAUUUCUAAGCCUUCUCCAGUUAAACAAGGCAUCCUUUAUGAGGCAAAAAACAGAGAUUUGUGUAGGUUCCUUAUAUUAUAAUAUAGCAAAAGUACCUAUAGUAGUAUAGUGUAUCAUAUAUACUCAUAACAAGUGUCACUUGUGUAACUUCUGGUUCUAGUUUUUUAUGUCGAGAAACACAAUUAGAGCAAUUGGUAUUUGUUACCUUCCUGGCAUGAGAUGGGCAAGGUCCUGGUUUUCAUAAAAUGCAGCAAUGCCCCAGUCUACAGUUGAGGGUGAUUUUGUCAUUAAACCUACUACUAUUAAAAAGAAAAAAAGAACGCUAAUACUAUUUACUGGUUGCUUAAUAAACCAAAGGCAUGAAAACUUUGAUUGUCUUCCUAGUUUUACUUGUAUAGUUUCCUAAAUUCCUGUAAUUGUAAAGGUACGUGAAAAUGUUAUGUUUCCACUUGUAGUUGUAGGCAUUGGAUAUAGCAUUUUCAUGACGUGACUAUGCUUAUUUGAUAAAACUUAUUUUAUGUUGGAGCUUACGCAUGAUUUUUGGAACCGGGUUGACGAAUUCUCUAUGAUUUUGAUUUUAUGUGAAAUAUAGGAAUGGGUGACAUAUUUUUUUGUUGCUAAACAAUAGUUUUAGGCGAGAUCUUUACACAAAUAGCUGACCUAUUUCACUGUUUGCUUUUUCUAGCCCGUAUACACUUAUUAUGCACUAAUUUUGAGCGUGUUGCCCAUGUCAUGAGUAAACAAUUUUUAAAAAAUCACAGAAGUAGUUGUUCUCAAAUUUUUAUUGCAGUAUAAUAUCUAGUGAAUAUUAUUGUUAUAUUUAUGCUCUAAUUAAUACCAAAAACAAACAAAUAACAGACAAAAAUACUUUAUCACGAUGAACAUGGACUACGCUAUAAUGACAAAAGUAUUAUUUUCAAGAAAAUAAUGACAUAAAUAAUGUGUAUACAAUAAUUUAAAUAUUUAAUUUGGAAGAAAGUGUACAUUGAAUGGAACUUUGGGUUGUUUUAUCAGAUUAAGAUAUGUGCGUGCCUAAUUUGUAUGCCUACGUACAAUAAAAAGAAUUGUUUGGUUUAUGUAAGGUGAAAGUUUAACCGAUUAAAGUAUUAUAUAUUAAUAUUUCUUACAUGGUUCAAUAAUGAUCAAAAAUUUUAGUUGAUUUAAAGUCUUAAAUAUUAGAAAAUUAACUUAAAUUAUAAUUUUGUCCAAUGUGAAACCUAUUUUUAAUAGGUAAAAAAAGACGACAUAUUUCACUAAAGGGCUACGUGUUUUUGAUAUAGUAUAAAUAUAAAUAUAAAUUUAAAAUAUAUUAUACAUUCGUCGGUUAAUUUUAGUUAAAUAAUUGAAUAGGCUGCUAUUGGUUAACGCACAAUCAUAUAUAGUAUGACUCUAUUACAAAUACACGCUUUCUAUUUUGGAAAGAGAUAUAGAGGUGCAUCCCGUCUCAGAAAAAAAGAAAAAAAAGAAAGAAGAAGAAGGUGCAUCCCAGUAUUUCAAAAUCAAAUACUUAAACCUAUUAUGUAAUGAAAAGCCUACACAAAGGAAUUGAUGUUAGUUUAACCAAGUAAACUGAAAAUGCUUAAGCAAGCCAAAAUAAUAUUAUAUAUUAUAUAUAAUGUUUUAAGUUUUUAAAAUACAAAUAGCUUACAUAUCUAGAGUGCAAAAAGUAUUUUUUUCUAGCAAUUGAUAUAGUAUUAAGUUAUUUGUGGAUAUUUCCGAUUUAAAGGUUUUGAAAAGUACUUGUUUUAAAAAAAAUCGUUUACUCUCUCUCUUUUUAUUAAUCAAAGACAUGUGAAAAAAGAUUUUCUAGUGGGUGAAAAAGAUGUUUGUUCUCGAUCUUAAUUAGAUUUCAUAGAAUUAAAUAUACAUGAUUUUCCUAUUUGUCAUUUUAAUUUUUUUUUAGUUACAAAUACACACCUUUUUUCAAAACUAAACACUUACACACUUGUAAAAUUAGAAAUAUUAAUCAAACUAAUAUUUGGGUAGGAUUUCCAUGAUAACGGGGGUGUAAUUUACCUUUUAUGGCUUUGAUUCAAUCACAUUUCUAAAAAACGUACCAAAAACAAUAUAUCUUUAAUGCCGAUUUGAUUGUAUAAUUCCUUUUCUUGGCAUUAUUUUCCUAAAAAAGAUAAAUAAAUAACUAGAGAAAUUAUUAGGUUGGAAUAAUAAAAAUUUACUAUCUGCUUAAAGAAAAAGCAGAAAUUGUUUCCGUGUAUCCUCUAAAGCUUGGAAGAAAAAAAAAGUUUGAACUUACCAUAUUUUGUUAUUUAACUACUUUUAGUGUUUUCCUAAAUGAAAACGACUUAGUAUUCUACAAACGUGAACGCCAAGUAUCACUUGUAUAAAUACCUUAGGUCACUUCAACGUUUUGCAUAAAACACAGCUCCAUCAAUUCUUUGUUUGAACUCGCUUCCCUAAUUAAUGGUAGCCGCUGCUGCUUGUUGCUUUUGUCACUAUUAUUUUCCUG
This 2926-nucleotide long non-coding RNA is filed under the name Nicotiana tabacum (common tobacco). Its description in RNAcentral is "long non-coding RNA (NTAB_LNC008980)". Lineage: Eukaryota; Viridiplantae; Streptophyta; Magnoliopsida; Solanales; Solanaceae. The record is from RNAcentral.